RNAcentral lists this ribosomal RNA (229 nucleotides) under uncultured bacterium. Its description in RNAcentral is "partial 16S ribosomal RNA". It matches the Rfam family "Bacterial small subunit ribosomal RNA", at positions 568 to 796 of the family's 1533-position model. The record is from RNAcentral.
CAUGUAGGCGGUUAAGUAAGUCUGAUGUGAAAGCACACAGCUCAACUGUGAUGUUGCGUUGGAAACUGCUUGACUUGAAUCCGAGAGGGGUGUGUGGAAUUCCUAGUGUAGGGGUGAAAUCUGUUGAUAUUAGGAAGAACACCAGAGGCGAAGGCGACACACUGGCUCUGGAUUGACGCUGAGAUGCGAAAGCGUAGGUAGCGAACAGGAUUAGAUACCCUGGUAGUCC